AGGGGUAGAGCUCAGUGGUAGAGCGUGUGCUUAGCAUGUAUGGGUUCAAUCCCCAGUACCUCCA
RNAcentral lists this transfer RNA (64 nucleotides) under Camelus bactrianus (Bactrian camel). It matches the Rfam family "tRNA". From Rfam's summary of the family: Transfer RNA (tRNA) molecules are approximately 80 nucleotides in length. Their secondary structure includes four short double-helical elements and three loops (D, anti-codon, and T loops). RNAcentral also lists the same sequence under 3 other names. The record is from Rfam by way of RNAcentral. Lineage: Eukaryota; Metazoa; Chordata; Mammalia; Artiodactyla; Camelidae.